This is a long non-coding RNA of Helianthus annuus (common sunflower), 1428 nucleotides long. RefSeq lists it as uncharacterized. The transcript has 4 exons. The record is from RefSeq and is a predicted model, not a curated record. NCBI's taxonomy places the organism in Eukaryota, Viridiplantae, Streptophyta, Magnoliopsida, Asterales, Asteraceae.
GUAGGGGGCUAUUAUGGCUGUUGGAGCUUCAAAGCCUACUUCUAUUGCUGAUAAGGAUGGAUAUUUCAGUGUGAAAAGUCAAAUGCUGCAUUUCAAUUGGUCAAGCCAGACAUGGUAUCUUCUAUAUUCCACUUCUUUUAGCAGUCACAAGUUGGCUAAAACUCGAUAAGCAAAGCUUGGGCUCGGGCUUGAGCUAGCUUAAGCUCUACUCGUUUGCACCCCUACCUGUGAUUCAUGUGACUAAUCCUUGAGUUCUGCUGGAUCUAUUUCUCCUUUUUCAAGAGUGUUUGGAAAAGGUGAGUUGAUUGAUAACUAUUUUUAUAGUAACUGUUGUGCUCUUACUUUAUCAAAGACAUAUUGUCAAUUGGUAUUAUAGUAACUGUUGUUUGUCUGUUUGGAAUGCUUUAUUACCUGUAUAUUGUGGAGAUAGAACAAUCAAUAUUAGUUUUGCUAUGACGAAUUACAUUAUAUUCUAAGCAGGUGACAACAAUACUGAUCACCACACCAACCAGAAAGGGACCGGGUUCUCUAGUUACAAAGGAAAUUUUUAAGUUUGAGACGUUUAAACAAUAUCCGAUUAGUUGUUCGGAUGAUUUAACUUAUAUAUAUAGACCGGUGACUAGGACUUUUAGCAUAUUUACUGAGCUAGAACUGCUUUCAUGUAGCAUAUAAACAAUUGGUGAUUUGAUUCUCCUGGUGCCUGUUCUAUGUAGAUAGGGCUGAUGACUGCUGGCUUGCUACAUGCAAAGAUAACAUGAAUUGUGAUAUAACGUCUCCAUACUGUGGUGAAAACCUUAGCUCGCUUGGUCAAAACCUCAAGACAAGUACCUAUUUAUGGGAUUCUUGGACAGGUAUUAUUCUAGUUUCUUCUUCUAGGCAACAUGUAAGUGGGAAAUGUUUGUAUAUCUUGCAUACACAUUGUGUUAUUGAACUAUAUAUGCACAUAUUUUAUUUUGAUUGUUUUGGUUGGUGCAACAUAGAUAUCUUUACUCAAUGACAUUAAGAGUAGACAUGAGGGUAAAAAGGAGGGAUGCAGAGGUAUGGAUGUCCCACAAGAUGCUUCCUGAAGAUCUGAAGGAAGGUGUGACACUCUAUGAACAAAAGAAAACGGGAAGUCAAUGAAGAAUCUCUUGUUCACAAGCUGCCCGAGGACUUAUGGAAGGACAUAAAGCUCAAUGGACAAUACAACUGGCAACCAAACUGCCAAAUUGUUCAUGUAAAAUAACAUCAGGCAUAUAUAAUAAUAUUUCAUACUGCUCCAAGUAUAGAAAAAAAUCCACAAAUCAGUAGCAUCACAAGGCUGUUUGGAAGGUUUUAUUAUCAAACCCAACAACCUAUUCCUUAUAUUGCCUUUUCCAUUGUAAUUGACCCCUUUAUUUUUUAUUUGAUUACAUUGUAAUAUUGAGUUUGGACAUAUGUUAAUAUAUA